This 373-nucleotide ribosomal RNA is filed under the name uncultured organism. RNAcentral's name for it is "bacterial SSU rRNA". It matches the Rfam family "Bacterial small subunit ribosomal RNA", at positions 526 to 896 of the family's 1533-position model. The record is from RNAcentral.
CGGAGGAUCCAAGCGUUAUCCGGAUUUACUGGGCGUAAAGAGUUGCGUAGGUGGUUUGCCAAGUUUCCGUUUAAAUGCCAAGGCUCAACCUUGGAAGUGACGGAAAAACUGGCAAACUCGAGAAUGAGAGAGGUCACUGGAAUUACUAGUGUAGGAGUGAAAUCCGUAGAUAUUAGUAGGAACACCGAUGGCGUAGGCAGGUGACUGGCUCAUUUCUGACACUGAGGCACGAAAGCGUGGGGAGCGAACGGGAUUAGAUACCCCGGUAGUCCACGCCGUAAACGAUGGAUGCUAGCUGUAAGGAGUAUCGACCCUUCUUGUAGCGAAGCUAACGCGUUAAGCAUCCCGCCUGGGGAGUACGGUCGCAAGAUUA